Molecule: ribosomal RNA, 600 nt
Filed under: uncultured bacterium
Lineage: Bacteria
Description: bacterial SSU rRNA
Rfam family: Bacterial small subunit ribosomal RNA
Source: RNAcentral
UUGCUAUAAUUGUCAGCUAAGUGGCGCACGGGUGAGUAAUGUAUAGAUAACCUGCCCUUAAGAAAGGAAUAACAGUUGGAAACGACUGCUAAUGCCCUAUAUGCCUUUAAUACAUAAGUAUGCAAGGGAAACGCUUUAGUGCUUAAGGAUGGGUCUGUAUGGUAUCAGCUUGUUGGUGAGGUAAUGGCUCACCAAGGCUAUGACGCCUAACUGGUUUGAAAGGAUGAUCAGUCACACUGGAACUGAGACACGGUCCAGACUCCUACGGGAGGCAGCAGUGGGGAAUAUUGCACAAUGGACGAAAGUCUGAUGCAGCAACGCCGCGUGGAGGAUGACACAUUUCGGUGCGUAAACUCCUUUUAUAUAGGAAGACAAUGACGGUACUAUAUGAAUAAGCACCGGCUAACUCCGUGCCAGCAGCCGCGGUAAUACGGAGGGUGCAAGCGUUACUCGGAAUCACUGGGCGUAAAGAGCGUGUAGGCGGGUAUAUAAGUCAGAAGUGAAAUCCAAUAGCUCAACUAUUGAACUGCUUUUGAAACUGUAUACCUAGAAUGUGGGAGAGGUAGAUGGAAUUUCUGGUGUAGGGGUAAAAUCCGUAGA